GUCUCCAGUGAGGCGUGCUCUGUUCCAGGGGCACGUGUUGUUAGAGACAUUGGGAAGGCUCUACCAUGGCUCAUGAAAGCAGAAGACUGCUAUCGUUUUACUGUCGUUCAGGCUGUGUCCCAGGAUGCUGCAAUGAGGAAACUAAAGAAUGUUAAAAAGGACUUUUGUGUCCCUUGGAAAGAUGUUGAAGGGAUCAGGGGUGCAGGCAGAGUUCUCCUCUGUCCUUCCGAUGGGUAGCUGGGACCCAGGAAGAUGGAGGAGAACAUCAGGUGAACGACUGGCUGGGGGGGUGGUGUCCUGAUCGGGGCUUUGGGUAUUUUGAUCUCGGGCAGGCCUUUGAGAAACUGGGCAUGUGGGCUCCUGAUGGACUCCGACUGAGCAAGCGGGGCAGAAGUGUGCUGGGGAACAAGCUCUCUGGAUUGAUUACCAGGGCUUUAAACUAGGUCCAGAGGGGGAAAAAAAAAAAAGUGUCCACAGUUUACAGGCCAGUCUGGCCUGGCCCCGUGACUGGUGAGGCGGGAGACCCACAGACCCACGCCCCGAGAAAGGGGGGAAGGGGGAGAGGGGGAAGGAUAGGGAGAUAGCAGAGGGAUCUAUUAAACAGAACAGCAGCGAUGUUCUGAUGGAGAACAUUAAUUUACUACGUAUGAUAUCAGAAUGCAAGACUAAACAAUAUAAUACAAUACAAUUGGAAUUGCUUGGAUCAACCCAUGGGAAAUGGCCGGGCUGUGUUUCCACCCCCAGGGCAAACGGUUCCAAGUAUACUGAACGCCCCUCCAGGGGAAAGCAAACUGUGGCCUACAUUCUGUGGCCAAAGGAAUAGCAAAGAAGGCAUUAGCAAUGCCAGUGGUGGCAUACCACUUGGCUGCUUGUGACUCCAGUUCAUACUGGAGUUCUAGCAUGUCUGGCACAGCAGCACUCAGUGGGGCUGUGACUGCAUUCAGGCCACGGUAGUCUACCCUCGGCCUCCAUUCUCCACUGGCUUUGCGCACUGGCCAUCUGGGACUGUUAAAAGGUGAGUGAGUUUUGCUGAUCACUCCUUGACACUCUAGUUGACAAAUCAACUUAUGAAUUGGUAGCAAGGAAUCCCUGUAGGUGCGGUGCUGCCGUCUCUGCACCGUUUUUGUAGCAAUUGGUACCUGCUGCUAUUUCAGCCGUAGCAACGCCACAACAGACAGAUCUUCUGAUAGGCCAGGCAAUGCAGACAACUGUUUAACACCUUCUGUGUCUACAGCAGCUAUUCCAAAGGCCCAUCGAUACCCUUUGGGAUCCUUGAAAUAUCCCCUUCUGAGGUAAUCGAUACCAAGUAUGCAGGGAGCCCCUGGGCCAGUCACAAUAGGAUGCUUUUGCCAGUCUUU
Molecule: long non-coding RNA, 1358 nt
Filed under: Gallus gallus (chicken)
Lineage: Eukaryota; Metazoa; Chordata; Aves; Galliformes; Phasianidae
Description: lncRNA (ENSGALG00010023929.1)
Source: RNAcentral